Molecule: ribosomal RNA, 465 nt
Filed under: Peptostreptococcaceae bacterium canine oral taxon 125
Lineage: Bacteria; Bacillati; Bacillota; Clostridia; Peptostreptococcales; Peptostreptococcaceae
Description: bacterial SSU rRNA
Rfam family: Bacterial small subunit ribosomal RNA
Source: RNAcentral
GAUCAUGGCUCAGGAGGAACGCUGGCGGCGUGCCUAACACAUGCAAGUCGAGCGAGAAAUAGUCAGACGGAGAUUUCGGUUGAAGGAUGGCUAUGGAAAGCGGCGGACGGGUGAGUAACGCGUAGGCAACCUGCCUCAUGCAGAGGGAUAGCCUCGGGAAACCGGGAUUAAAACCUCAUAAGGCCAAGGGGACACAUGUUUUCGUGGUCAAAGAUUUAUCGGCAUGAGAUGGGCCUGCGUCUGAUUAGCUGGUUGGUGAGGUAACGGCUCACCAAGGCGACGAUCAGUAGCCGACCUGAGAGGGUAAACGGCCACAUUGGAACUGAGACACGGUCCAAACUCCUACGGGAGGCAGCAGUGGGGAAUAUUGCACAAUGGGCGAAAGCCUGAUGCAGCAACGCCGCGUGAGCGAAGAAGGCCUUUGGGUCGUAAAGCUCUGUCGAUAGGGAAGAAAAAGAAGCCCNG